CCUACGGGAGGCAGCAGUAGGGAAUUUUCCGCAAUGGGCGAAAGCCUGACGGAGCAAUACCGCGUGAGGGAUGACUGCCUAUGGGUUGUAAACCUCUUUUUUCAGGGAGGAAUAAAUGACGUGUACCUGAAGAAUAAGCAUCGGCUAACUCCGUGCCAGCAGCCGCGGUAAGACGGAGGAUGCAAGUGUUAUCCGGAAUCACUGGGCGUAAAGCGUCUGUAGGUGGCUCAACAAGUCAACUGUUAAAUCUUGAAGCUCAACUUCAAAAUCGCAGUCGAAACUAUUGAACUAGAGUAUAGUAGAGGUAAAGGGAAUUUCCAGUGGAGCGGUGAAAUGCGUAGAGAUUGGAAAGAACACCAAUGGCGAAGGCACUUUACUGGGCUAUUACUGACACUCAGAGACGAAAGCUAGGGUAGCAAAUGGGAUUAGAUACCCCAGUAGUCCUAGCCGUAAACAAUGGAUACUAGGUGUUGAACAGAUACGACCUCGUGCAGUACUAACGACUAACGUACGUUAAGUACUCCGCCGUCGGUAGUAGUGCGACGCGAGUAGUGAACGUAACGUAAGUAAGUUAGACGGUCGUUGAGACGNGCCGACGGACGACGACGAGGGAGGAGG
RNAcentral lists this ribosomal RNA (618 nucleotides) under uncultured bacterium. RNAcentral describes it as "bacterial SSU rRNA". The stretch from base 1 to 527 matches the Rfam family "Bacterial small subunit ribosomal RNA", at positions 338 to 873 of the family's 1533-position model. The record is from RNAcentral.